Molecule: ribosomal RNA, 617 nt
Filed under: uncultured fungus
Lineage: Eukaryota; Fungi
Description: eukaryotic LSU rRNA
Rfam family: 5.8S ribosomal RNA (bases 219-373)
Source: RNAcentral
AAGGAUCAUUAUCGAUCAACGAAGUGCUUGUGAAGUUGUGCUGGCCUCUCUCGAGGCAUGUGCACGCUUUAUGGGUCUUCACACACCCCACACCUGUGAACCAACUGUAGGUCUUUUCGGGACCUAUGUCUUCUCAUAACACACUGUAUGUCUAGAAUGUCAUUAUGAUUAUCGUCUGCUUCCUCUGUGGAGUUGGGCUGAUAAGAUAAACAAUAUACAACUUUCAGCAACGGAUCUCUUGGCUCUCGCAUCGAUGAAGAACGCAGCGAAUUGCGAUAUGUAAUGUGAAUUGCAGAUUUUCAGUGAAUCAUCGAAUCUUUGAACGCACCUUGCGCUCCUUGGUAUUCCGAGGAGCAUGCCUGUUUGAGUGUCAUUAAAUUCUCAACCCCAUCAAUUUGUUUUGAUUGUGGGCUUGGAUUGUGGGGGCUUGCUGGUGGACUCUUGUUCAUCGGCUCCUCUGAAAUGUAUUAGCAAAGGUUGAUGUGCGAACCAGUGUCUCGGUGUGAUAAUGAUCAUCGUGUCUGACGUGCAGUGUUCCUGUGCUUACAGUCGUUGUCGCAAGACAACAUUUUUGAACCUUUGACCUCAAAUCAGGUAGGAUUACCCGCUGAACUUAA